CCGGAAUAUAUGGCUAGUGGCGAACGGGUGAGUAAUACAUGAGGACGUAUCCUCGAGAGGGGGACAACAUUGGGAAACCGAUGCUAAUACCCCAUAAGCCGAGAGGUAAAAGGGAGCGAUCCGCUUGAGGAGCGGCUCAUGUCCUAUCAGCUAGUUGGUGAGGUAACGGCUCACCAAGGCGAAGACGGGUAGCCGGCCUGAGAGGGUGACCGGCCACACUGGAACUGAGAGACGGUCCAGACUCCUACGGGAGGCAGCAGUGGGGAAUAUUGGGCAAUGGGGGCAACCCUGACCCAGCGACGCCGCGUGAGGGAAGAAGGCCUUAGGGUCGUAAACCUCUGUUGUGUGGGAAGAAGGAAGUGACGGUACCACACGAGGAAGUCCCGGCUAACUACGUGCCAGCAGCCGCGGUAAUACGUAGGGGACGAGCGUUGUCCGGAAUUACUGGGCGUAAAGGGCGCGUAGGCGGUCAUUUAAGUCAGCUGUGAAAUGGUCCGGCUCAACCGGAUCAUGCGGUUGAAACUGGGAUGACUGGAGUGCUGGAGAGGCAAGUGGAAUUCCCAGUGUAGCGGUGAAAU
Molecule: ribosomal RNA, 578 nt
Filed under: uncultured Synergistota bacterium
Lineage: Bacteria; Thermotogati; Synergistota
Description: bacterial SSU rRNA
Rfam family: Bacterial small subunit ribosomal RNA
Source: RNAcentral